Molecule: ribosomal RNA, 418 nt
Filed under: bacterium
Lineage: Bacteria
Description: partial 16S ribosomal RNA
Rfam family: Bacterial small subunit ribosomal RNA
Source: RNAcentral
UGGGGGAUAUUGCACAAUGGGCGAAAGCCUGAUGCAGCGACGCCGCGUGGGGGAUGAAGGCCUUCGGGUUGUAAACUUCUUUUGCUCUGAACAAGGCGCACCAUGGGGUGUGUUGAGUGUAGGGGUUGAUUAGCGCCGGCUAACUACGUGCCAGCAGCCGCGGCAAUACGUAGGGCGCGAGCGGUGUCCGGAAUUAUUGGGCGUAAGGGCUUGUAGGUGGCUGGUUGCGUCUGUCGUGAAAGCUCAUGGCUUAACUGUGGGUUUGCGGUGGGUACGGGCUGGCUUGAGUGCAGUAGGGGAGGCUGGAAUUCCUGGUGUAGCGGUGGAAUGCGCAGAUAUCAGGAGGAAUACCGGUGGCGAAGGCGGGUCUCUGGGCUGUUACUGACACUGAGGAGCGAAAGCAUGGGGGGCGAACAGG